CUUACGUUAUGAUGCAAUAGCGAUUUUUUUGUGGAUUUUCGUAAUUUGUACGUCAAAAAAGUGAGAACAUCAAUGUUUGCUUUUCGCGGAAUUAAAUUCAAAAUUAACCGAAGUGGACUACAUUCAAGGUUUUCGCAGUAUUAUGGGGUCAUCUAUGAAUGGAAUUAAUUAAUUGAAAAAAUGAGCGGAAUUAAAUUCAAAAUUAACCGAAGUGGACUACAUUCAAGGUUUUCGCGGUGUUAUGGGGUCAUCUAUGAACGGAAUUAAUUAAUUGAAAA
Molecule: non-coding RNA, 278 nt
Organism: Onthophagus taurus
Lineage: Eukaryota; Metazoa; Arthropoda; Insecta; Coleoptera; Scarabaeidae
Source: RefSeq, a predicted model, not a curated record